RNAcentral lists this long non-coding RNA (2082 nucleotides) under Homo sapiens (human). Its description in RNAcentral is "non-protein coding lnc-HEPACAM-2:2". Lineage: Eukaryota; Metazoa; Chordata; Mammalia; Primates; Hominidae. The record is from RNAcentral.
CUCUUCCUGUCCGGCUGAGGGGGCGGGGACGUGUGGAUCUCUUGUUCUGAGGGAAGCCAUGUACAUCAUUAGCAGUUCUAUAAAGAGGAUCACAUGGCAAGAAACUGAAACAUUCUGCCAGCUGCCCUGUGAAAGAACUUGGAAGUAGACCCUCCAGCCCUAAUCAAGUCUUCAGAGACUGUACUCAGCCAACAAUUGACUGCAACCUCAUAAGAGACCCUGAGCCAGACCGCCCAACGAGAAACUGUGUGAGAUAAUGUUUGUUGUAUUAAGAUGCUAAAUUUGAGGGUCAUUUGUUAUACAAUGAGAGAAGUAGGAGGUAAGGGACUAUGAAAAGUUGGUAGAGUCAAGAAGUUGUAGGUUCCUGUGGUGGUCUAAAGUUUGUUAGAACAGGAUACUCAAAAGAAUGUGCUAAGAUAAGAGGUGGUCUGAGAGUAGGCUGCUUGGAGCUGAGUGUAUGCAGAGGUUGUGGUUAUUGGUGCUGUCAAAGUCUAUGGUAUGACCAAAGGAGGGAAAGCUAAGGUGGGUUAAAGAACAAGAUCACUGGAGAAGAGGUCAUAGAAACCAAACACCAGAGCAUUGAUUGGAUGAUCCAUGAGGAUACUGAAAUCACCAAAAAAUAUAACAAGAAUGAUGUUGGAGAAAGCCAGAAGCAACAAUCUUGAAAAGGCUUGGAGGUUGGUGGACUAUGGAAAUUAUGUUAGACAAAAAACAAAUGCAAGCAGUUUUCUUAUUCGAGUUCAAAAUGGGCUGCAAAGCAGCAGAGACAACUUGCAACAUCAAGAGUGCAUUUGGCCCAGGAACUGCUAAUGAACGUACAGUGCAGUGGUGGUUCAAGAAGUUUUGCAAAGGAUGGCCAGGCGCAGCAGCUCACACCUAUAAUCCCAGCACUUUGGGAGGCCAAGGCAUCCGGAUCACUUGAAGUCAGGAGUUCGAGGCCAGCCAGGCCAACAUGGUGAAACCCCAUCUCUACUAAAAAUAAAAAAAUUAGCUGGGCAUGGUGGCAUGCACCUGUAAUCCCAGCUACUCGGGAGGCUGAGGUGGGAGAAGCGCUUGAACCCAGGAGGCAGAGGUUGCAGUGAGCUGAGAUUGUGCCACUGCACUCCAGUGACAGAACAAGACUCCGUCUCAAUUUAAAAAGAAAGAAAGAAAGAAAGAAAGUUUUGCAAAGGAGCUGAGAGCCUUGAAGAUGAUGAGCAUAGUGACCGGCCAUGGGAAGUUGACAAUGACCAAUUGAGAGCAAUCAUUGAAGCUGAUCCUCUUAUAGCUACAUGAGAAGUUGCCUAAGAACUCAAUGUUGACCAUUCUAUCGUCACUCAGCAUUUGAAGCAAAUUGGAAAGGUAAAAAAGCUCGAUAAGUGGAUGCCUCAUGAGCCAACUGAAAAUAAAAAAAAUAUAUCGUUUUGAAGUGUUGUCUUCUCUUGUUCUACACAACAAUGAACCAUUUCUCGAUUGGAUUGAGAUGUGCUAUGAAAAGUAGAUUUUAUACAACAGCUGGCAAUGACCAGCUCAAUGGUUGGGCCCAGAAGAAGCUCCACAGCACUUCCCAAAGCACCAAAAACAGGUCAUGGUCACCGUUUGGUGGUCUGCUGCCAGUCUGAUCCACUACGGCUUUCCGAAUCCCAGUGAAACCAUUACAUCUGAGAAGUAUGCUUAGCAAAUCAAUGAGGCACUGAAAAGUGCAACACCUGCAGCUGACAGUGGUCAACAGAAAGGACCCAAUUCUUCUCCACAGCAACUACAAUGCCCGACUGCAUGUCGCACAACCAACCCUUCAAAAGUUGAACAAAUUGAUCUAUGAAGUUUUGCCUCAUCCACCAUAUUCAUCUGACCUGUGGCCAACCAACUACCACUUCUUCAAGCAUCUCAACAACUUUUUGCAGAGAAAACACUUCUACAACCAGCAGGAUGCAGAAAAUACUUUUUAAGAGUUUGGCGAAUCUGGAAGCACAGCUUCUUACACUACAGGAAUAAACGAACUUAUUUCUCAUUGGCAAAAAGGUGUUGAUUGUAAUGGUUCCUAUUUUGAUUAAUAAAAAUAUAUCUGAGCCUAGUUAUAAUCACUUAAAAUUCAUGGUCCAA